This 547-nucleotide ribosomal RNA is filed under the name uncultured Glomeromycotina. RNAcentral's name for it is "SSU rRNA". It matches the Rfam family "Eukaryotic small subunit ribosomal RNA", at positions 548 to 1098 of the family's 1831-position model. The record is from RNAcentral. Lineage: Eukaryota; Fungi; Glomeromycota.
UUGGAGGGCAAGUCUGGUGCCAGCAGCCGCGGUAAUUCCAGCUCCAAUAGCGUAUAUUAAAGUUGUUGCAGUUAAAAAGCUCGUAGUUGAAUUUCGGGGUUCUUCCGUUGGUCAGGCUAACCAGUCUGUACUAGCGUGUAGAAUCUCUACCUUCUGGGGAACCAUCAUGUUAUUAAUUUAGCGUGGUGGGAAACCAGGACCUUUACCUUGAAAAAAUUAGAGUGUUCAAAGCAGGCUUACGUCUGAAUACAUUAGCAUGGAAUAAUAAAAUAGGACGGUGGUCCUGUUUUGUUGGUUUCUGAAUCACCGUAAUGAUUAAUAGGGAUAGUUGGGGGCAUUAGUAUUCAAUUGUCAGAGGUGAAAUUCUUGGAUUUAUUGAAGACUAACUUCUGCGAAAGCAUUUGCCAAGGAUGUUUUCAUUAAUCAAGAACGAAAGUUGGGGGAUCGAAGACGAUCAGAUACCGUCGUAGUCUUAACCAUAAACUAUGCCGACUAGGGAUCGGACGAUGUUAAAUUUUAUUGACUCGUUCGGCGCCUUACGGGAAAC